GGUACGACUCUCGACAACGGAUAUCUCAGCUCUCGCAUCGAUGAAGAACGUAGCGAAAUGCGAUACGUGGUGCGAAUUGCAGAAUCCCGCGAACCAUCGAGUCUUCGAACGCAAGUUGCGCCCGAGGCCAUCCGGCCGAGGGCACGCCUGCCUGGGCGCCAACC
This 164-nucleotide ribosomal RNA is filed under the name Calamus conirostris. Its description in RNAcentral is "5.8S ribosomal RNA". It matches the Rfam family "5.8S ribosomal RNA". From Rfam's summary of the family: 5.8S ribosomal RNA (5.8S rRNA) is a component of the large subunit of the eukaryotic ribosome. It is transcribed by RNA polymerase I as part of the 45S precursor that also contains 18S and 28S rRNA. The record is from RNAcentral. Lineage: Eukaryota; Viridiplantae; Streptophyta; Magnoliopsida; Arecales; Arecaceae.